RNAcentral lists this long non-coding RNA (245 nucleotides) under Elaeis guineensis (African oil palm). RNAcentral describes it as "long non-coding RNA (EGUI_LNC070116)". Lineage: Eukaryota; Viridiplantae; Streptophyta; Magnoliopsida; Arecales; Arecaceae. The record is from RNAcentral.
AGGUAAUGAUUUAAUUAAUGAUACAUUAAAAAUCUUUUUCUAAUUAUCAUCUUGCUUUGGUCAAAGACUUCUAAAAUCACCAUCCUAUGAGAUCACAUAGGAUGUUCGCUCCCCUUAUUAGGAGUGACUAAUCUCUUAUUGAUCACUCACAACCAUCAUGCACACUUCACCAUAUCCAGAACACCCCACACAAGGAUCAGAGAACCAAGUUAGGUAGUGAACCAAAACAUGGAUCUAUAUACACA